UUAGUCAAAGGGCUACAAUGUGGCCCCUUUGAAGAGUCUGUUCACCAUGCGAUGUACUUUUCUUCUUCGCGCCCCCUCCGAGCAUCUCCCGCUUCACCCCUUGUUUGAUGUUUCUUGGACAUUUUGUUAAAAAAUAUAUAAAUAAAUAUGAAGACAACAGUACACAGACGCUUUUGAAAAACAGAGAAAUAGGACGAGCCUUUUUUGCGGACACACACAUGCAUUCUUGAAAACCUCCUCAGAGGAGCGAAAGUAAGAUAGCAGGGGAGGAAGAGAGAAUGAAAGAUGAGGACGAAGAGCAAAUACGAGAUUAAGAGGGAGAGAGAGAGAAAGAAAGAGAGCUGGAAAGAAUGAGAGAGAGAGAGAGACUCUCCUCCCUUCGGCAGCAGCGCUUGUGUCUCUUUCAUGUCCACCAUGCUUGGAUCUGAGGCUUCGUCUCCCAGCUGGGCCUGGUGUGCAUGUGUGCAGCUAAGUGCCGGCUAAUUUCCCCUUGGAUCUCCCGGCCGGAGCCUAGGAUUUCUCCCCCAACAACGCCACCCCACAAACACCACUGCCUCGGUCCCCUGUCCAUGUGAAGAGGAGAUGGGAAAGGGGCAGAUUUGGCAGCGAUGGGCGAACAGGAGCUCCUUCCAUAUAAUGAGAAUCCACUACGAAAAAGACACUGUGCAGUGCUCCGUUUCCAGGGAACAUAACAUGGGACCGCACUCUAGCAGCAGAACUUCUACGACAGGAAAAUGACUUCCAUUUCGGAGGCAGUACAGCAGACAGUGUGGGUACCUUUUCUCCACUGAGUGCAUCCGUUAGGUCACUUAUCGGGUCAAGUACCUCUAGAACCGUCUCUAAAUAUGCCACAUCCGAUCUUUUGGCAUCAGAUGCCACUUCUUUCUGUUUUCUGCCAAAACAGCACAGACAGCCAGAAUCGGUCGAUCCCGGAUGAUGGUGCACUUCUACACGGCCAUCAUGGAGUCCAUCCUCUGCUCCUCUAUCACUGUCUGGUACGCUGCAGCCACAGCCAAGGACCAGCUCUUCCAGGACCCUGAAGCGAGCUAAAAAAAUUGUUGCCAACCCCUCUCAACCCGGACAAAACCUGUGUGUGCCCCUUCUAUCUGGCAGGAGGCUGAGGUCCAUCAGGACCAAGACCUCUUGCCACACAAACAGUUUGUUCAGCAACAGAGCCCGGUCCCCCACUGACUAACACUGUCAUCCCUGUCCACUGGUCACACUCCACAUGCACAUACACUUGUUACUUUCUGUUCGCUGACUUUUUGUUUUUUUUCAUCUUGCACUAUGUUGUCUUAUCUUUCUUGUUGUCACGCACCAACUGCCAAGUCAAAUUCCUUGUAUGUCUAACAUAUUUUGAUAAUAAACGUUCCUGAUUCCGGAUUCCUGAAGAUGCCAAACACACACGCACAAACCACCUCCUCCCAAUUAUUCCAUUCACUUCUAAUGGUAACCAUUUGUCUUUCGAUGAAAUCAAAAUGCUGUUUUCUCUGAGGACAAAUUGCAAAGCUAUUCCAUUCACAGCUUGAGAAAGGCCUACGGCUUGGCUGGGUUUCUUCAGGGUUGUUUAAAUGACGGGGCAGGGGCUUAGCUAAUGUGGCUAAUAGGCUCUGAAUUGUGUGCGGUUGUGAAUGUGCAAGUGAAGGAAAGGAACGCUCAAGGAAAGCAAAUAGAGGGAUUUAUUUAUGUGGCCUAUGUUUUGAAUUUGCCCAAUGAUUAAAUUAUAGCUGUUUUAGGGCCCCUUUGUGAUUGAAACUAAAGGGACUCGAGAAGAAAGCCUUGUUCGAGGCACGAGUGAAAUCCAGGAAGUAAAUGAUAAAUCCAUGUCAAUGCUCAUCAGAUGCCAAAACUCUUCACAGCAGCGUGCUGGUCUCGUCUGGCUGAUAGAUAGACAAUUCAGUAUCAGCUGCAUAACAGUGAACGUUAUGCAGUAUUUUCUGAUAACAUUGCCUAAAGGAAGCAUUUAAUUGUUAAAUCAAAUACUUCUAAGCACAGAGCCUUGUGGAACUCCGUGACCAACAUUGGUAUUUGUUGAGGUUUCACCGUUUAGAAACAAACUGAAAUGGAUUCCGAUGAAUACGACCAGCUGCGGUUCCUUUAAUACCAAUUAAUUAUUCUAGUCUUUGCAACACGUUGCAAGGACCAAUGGUUUCAAACACGGCACUGACGUCCAGCAAGAUAGGAAAGGAGACAAAACCUCCCAAGUAGAAGAGCUUUGUAAAUUUUCACUAGUGCUGUUUUUGUGCUAUGAUGAACUCUAAAUUCUGACAAAGAAAUCUUAAAGUAAACCAUAGUUAUGUAGUAACAUAACUGAUUUGUGACUGCUUUCUAAGGGUCUUAGAGAGGAAAGGAAGAUUAUAGAUGGGUCUAUUGUUAGAGAACACCUCUGGAGCAAGGGUGGGUUCAAAUGAGUUAUAAUUUAGUCUAGUCUUAUUAAAAGGCUAGUCAAAAAUAGCUGCUACUCCACCUCCUCGGCUUGUGCCUGAAGGAAUAUGAGUAUUAACAUGACUCGGAGGAGUCGAUUCAUUUAAACUGACAUAUUCUCCAUUUGACAGCGAGCUUCCGGUAUGAAAUGAUCAUUAUGAUUUACUAAAAUAGCUUUACACCGAGUCCAACUUUAAUUCUAUUUUCUUGCAAUGUUGCCUUGUUGGUUUUAACAUUUUUUUAAGUUGUUUUGCUGAACUCCUUGACUGUUUACCUUUGGUUUAAAUAAAUGAAGUGGCAGCAGAGAAAGUGUGUAAGACUGCAACUCGUAUUGCUCAAGAAAUCUGCCGAAACAAGUGGGAGAGUUAUAAAAAGGUUUUGUGUCUUUAUAUGGGUUAGUUAUCAAACAUACUUUGCUAAAUAUGAAAUAAGGUUACUCGGCAACCAGCUGUUCGUCAAAACAAAAGGAUGAUGACAGCAACUCAUAAAACCAAACUGCCAGUAGUAAUUGUCGGUUGUUUUAUUUAAAUAAUAUUUUCUACUAGUACUAGUUGUUUAAAAGAGCAAAAACGAUGAACAGUUUAUGAAACGUUUGUAUGCAACUAGGCAGCACAUACCUUGAAUAAAAGAAAUGAUAUAAGUAGAAGAGUGGCCUGUUUAUACGUUUGUUAGGCAGAUCUGUGUGCACCUCUUUGCUGUUGCUAUGACGCCCUGUGAAGCACCUUUAUUGAUCAUAGUCAAAGCAGUGUUCCAGAAGCUGUUCCAAACGGUACACAUACGUUGUGCGUUGGAUGUAGAUGCAUGCCAGACGAUAUUGUGGCCUUUCUAUUCACUACGGGUAAAAUAAGUUCACAAACAUGACCAUUUUACCUCUCAUGAAAUACAACAGUAAGUCGACUUUUCUGCAUGUUCGCAUAUUAUUUUGGUCCCACAUGUGUGUGUUUGGCCAUGUGAGUGCGGACUUACACAAGUAUGUAUUCAUAUGCACUC
This is a long non-coding RNA of Gasterosteus aculeatus aculeatus (three-spined stickleback), 3414 nucleotides long. Lineage: Eukaryota; Metazoa; Chordata; Actinopteri; Perciformes; Gasterosteidae. The record is from Ensembl.